GUAUCCGUAUUAGAACUACAGGAUCCCCUAGUAACUGCGAGUGAAGCGGGAAGAGCUCAAAUUUAAAAUCUGGCGGUUUUUUGUUGCCGUCCGAGUUGUAAUUUAGAGAAGCGUUUUCCGUGCCGGACCGUGUACAAGUCUCCUGGAACGGAGCGUCAUAGAGGGUGAGAAUCCCGUCUUUGACACGGAUGCCCGGUGCUCUGUGAUACGCUCUCGAAGAGUCGAGUUGUUUGGGAAUGCAGCUCAAAAUGGGUGGUGAACUCCAUCUAAAGCUAAAUAUUGGCGAGAGACCGAUAGCGAACAAGUACCGUGAGGGAAAGAUGAAAAGCACUUUGAAAAGAGAGUGAAACAGUACGUGAAAUUGCUGAAAGGGAAACGCUUGAAGUCAGUCGCGUCCGUCGGGAUUCAGCCGUAAUGGUGUACUUUCCGACGGACGGGCCAGCAUCGUUUUUGAUCGCCGGAAAAGGGCGGAAGGAAUGUGGCACCUCUGGGUGUGUUAUAGCCUUCCGUCGUAUACGACGGUCGGGAGCGAGGAACGCCUUUUUUUGU
RNAcentral lists this ribosomal RNA (549 nucleotides) under Vararia ochroleuca. Its description in RNAcentral is "eukaryotic LSU rRNA". It matches the Rfam family "Eukaryotic large subunit ribosomal RNA", at positions 46 to 606 of the family's 3401-position model. Lineage: Eukaryota; Fungi; Basidiomycota; Agaricomycetes; Russulales; Lachnocladiaceae. The record is from RNAcentral.